GCAGUAUUAGUUGGUAAGGAAGAGAAAACAUAAGUUCUGAAGGUUAGAGAGAAGAGACAGUCCAAUGAAACUUCUGCAGAGGUGAGGGGACAGGAGCUCAGGUCGAGGUGUGUUUCUGAAGGGACUCGGAGAUGUGAGAGAACUCACUAAGGAAAGGUGAUGAUGGAUGAGGCAUGGGGUGAGCUCAUCUGAACCAAGAGUUGCCUCACAGCAAAUGAGAUCUUCUGAUGAGUUGGGAUUUUCCACAGUCCCAACUACAGCACAUUCAGGGUCUUAUGGAAUCUUUCUCAUCGGGACUUCCUGGGAAGAUGGGAACAAAUGCCUAUUCACGUCAGAUAGGGCCCGGAUGACAGACAAGAGAGGUAUUUUCUGAUGCCUCGUGAGAGCAGAUAUGAGCCUGGGCUCCUACCUCUGUGUCACCUAGGACUCAAAUUGGGACACAUCUUGGUUUUCAGCUUCCUGUCCUUCCAAAUAAUACCAUGGUGUGAAAAUGCCAAGUUCAGCUCAGUGUUAUCUUUAUCUUCAAUGCCACCACCGUGUGAACAUGCCGUGUUCACCCACAGACUUUUCUCUUUAUCUUCAAGGAUCCUAUGAUCUUUGAGAUAUUCAGGGUGGGAAUAGCAGUAAGCCACGAGGAAGCUGGCUUUCUUUCCCACUGAACUUCUCCAGGCCUCAACGCAUCAUGGUUUUGUCUCGAGUCUGAUAAAUUCUGUAAGAGAUCCAACUUCUCCGAUUUCCUUGAAUUUAAGAUCAGCCCGAGACUGUGGUUCUCAGCCUUCAGAAUGUUGUGACUCUCUAACAGUGCUCCUCAUGUUGUGGUGACCCCAACCAUAAAGUUGUUUUCCUUGCUACUUCAUAACUGUAAUUUUGCUACUGAUAUGAUAUGAAUAUCUGACAUGCAGGAUAUCUAACAUGCAAUCCUUGUGGUAGGGUCAUCCAUCCCUCAAAGAGAUAUGACCCACAGGUUUACUAACAGCUGGCCUACAAGAUGGUAAUAGUCUGUCCCAGAGUAUUCGACUGAAUAAAUGGACAGUGAUAUCUAA
Molecule: long non-coding RNA, 1043 nt
Filed under: Mus musculus (house mouse)
Lineage: Eukaryota; Metazoa; Chordata; Mammalia; Rodentia; Muridae
Description: predicted gene 2379
Source: RNAcentral